This 270-nucleotide ribosomal RNA is filed under the name uncultured archaeon. RNAcentral's name for it is "partial 16S ribosomal RNA". It matches the Rfam family "Archaeal small subunit ribosomal RNA", at positions 477 to 747 of the family's 1478-position model. The record is from RNAcentral.
CAGCACCUCAAGUGGUCAGGAUGAUUAUUGGGCCUAAAGCAUCCGUAGCCUGCUUUGUCAGUUUUCGGUUAAAUCCAUACGCUCAACGUAUGGGCUGCCGGGAAUACUGCAAAGCUAGGGAGUGGGAGAGGUAGACGGUACUCGGUAGGAAGGGGUAAAAUCCUUUGAUCUAUUGAUGACCACCUGUGGCGAAGGCGGUCUACCUGAACACGUCCGACGGUGAGGGAUGAAAGCUGGGGGAGCGAACCGGAUUAGAUACCCGAGUAGUCC